This 266-nucleotide ribosomal RNA is filed under the name uncultured bacterium. RNAcentral describes it as "partial 16S ribosomal RNA". It matches the Rfam family "Bacterial small subunit ribosomal RNA", at positions 793 to 1055 of the family's 1533-position model. The record is from RNAcentral.
GUCCACGCUGUAAACGAUGGAUGCUAGAUGUCGCUGGUAUUGACCCCUGCGGCGUCGGCGCUAACGCAUUAAGCAUCCCGCCUGGGGAGUACGGCCGCAAGGCUAAAACUCAAAGGAAUUGACGGGGGCCCCUCACAAGCGGUGGAGCAUGUGGUUUAAUUCGACGCAACGCGCAGAACCUUACCUGGGUUAAAUCCACCAGAACCUUGCAGAGAUGUGAGGGUGCUCUUCGGAGAAUUGGUGAGACGGUGCUGCAUGGCUGUCGU